This 495-nucleotide ribosomal RNA is filed under the name uncultured bacterium. RNAcentral's name for it is "partial 16S ribosomal RNA". It matches the Rfam family "Bacterial small subunit ribosomal RNA", at positions 28 to 507 of the family's 1533-position model. The record is from RNAcentral.
GACGAACGCUGGCGGCGUGCUUAAUACAUGCAAGUAGAACGCUGAAGGAGGAGCUUGCUUCUCUGGUUGAGUUGCGAACGGGUGAGUAACGCGUAGGUAACCUGCCUGGUAGCGGGGGAUAACUUUUGGAAACGAUAGCUAAUACCGCAUAAGAGUAGAUGUUGCAUGACAUUUGCUUAAAAGGUGCAAUUGCAUCACUACCAGAUGGACCUGCGUUGUAUUAGCUAGUUGGUGGGGUAACGGCUCACCAAGGCGACGAUACAUAGCCGACCUGAGAGGGUGAUCGGCCACACUGGGACUGAGACACGGCCCAGACUCCUACGGGAGGCAGCAGUAGGGAAUCUUCAGCAAUGGACGGAAGUCUGACCGAGCAACGCCGCGUGAGUGAAGAAGGUUUUCGGAUCGUAAAGCUCUGUUGUAAGAGAAGAACGAGUGUGAGAGUGGAAAGUUCACACUGUGACGGUAUCUUACCAGAAAGGAACGGCUAACUACGUG